RNAcentral lists this transfer RNA (79 nucleotides) under Streptomyces capoamus. RNAcentral describes it as "tRNA-Pro". Lineage: Bacteria; Bacillati; Actinomycetota; Actinomycetes; Kitasatosporales; Streptomycetaceae. The record is from RNAcentral. RNAcentral also lists the same sequence under 1 other name.
UGGCGGGCGGUCCGCGGGCGGAGGGCGAGGGCGGCCGGGACCCGCUCCGGCUGGUGCGGGUCGCCGCCACGCCGGCCGG